Molecule: ribosomal RNA, 484 nt
Filed under: uncultured bacterium
Lineage: Bacteria
Description: partial 16S ribosomal RNA
Rfam family: Bacterial small subunit ribosomal RNA
Source: RNAcentral
AUUGAACGCUGGCGGCAGGCCUAACACAUGCAAGUCGAGCGGAUGAAGGGAGCUUGCUCCUGGAUUCAGCGGCGGACGGGUGAGUAAUGCCUAGGAAUCUGCCUGGUAGUGGGGUAUAACGUCCGGAAACGGGCGCUAAUACCGCAUACGUCCUGAGGGAGAAAGUGGGGGAUCUUCGGACCUCACGCUAUCAGAUGAGCCUAGGUCGGAUUAGCUAGUUGGUGGGGUAAAGGCCUACCAAGGCGACGAUCCGUAACUGGUCUGAGAGGAUGAUCAGUCACACUGGAACUGAGACACGGUCCAGACUCCUACGGGAGGCAGCAGUGGGGAAUAUUGGACAAUGGGCGAAAGCCUGAUCCAGCCAUGCCGCGUGUGUGAAGAAGGUCUUCGGAUUGUAAAGCACUUUAAGUUGGGAGGAAGGGCAGUAAGUUAAUACCUUGCUGUUUUGACGUUACCAGCAGAAUAAGCACCGGCUAACUACGUG